GACGAACGCUGGCGGCGUGCCUAAUACAUGCAAGUCGAACGCAUUUUCUUUCACCGUAGCUUGCUACACCGAAAGAAAAUGAGUGGCGAACGGGUGAGUAACACGUGGGUAACCUGCCCAUCAGCGGGGGAUAACACUUGGAAACAGGUGCUAAUACCGCAUAAUUCCAUUUACCGCAUGGUAGAUGGGUGAAAGGCGCUUUUGCGUCACUGAUGGAUGGACCCGCGGUGCAUUAGCUAGUGGGGGGGGUAACGGCCUACCAAGGCUGCGAUGCAUAGCCGACCUGGGAGGGGGGUCCGCCCCCCUGGGAACGGGACCCGGCCCAGACUCCUACGGGAAGCAGCAGUAGGGAAUCUUCGGCAAUGGGCGCAAGUCUGACCGAGUAACGCCGCGUGAGUGGAGAAGGUUUUCGGAUCGUAAAACUCUGUUGUUAGAGAAGAACAAGGAUGAGAGUGGAAAGUUCAUCCCUUGACGGUAUCUAACCAGAAAGCCACGGCUAACUACGUG
This 507-nucleotide ribosomal RNA is filed under the name uncultured bacterium. Its description in RNAcentral is "partial 16S ribosomal RNA". It matches the Rfam family "Bacterial small subunit ribosomal RNA", at positions 28 to 507 of the family's 1533-position model. The record is from RNAcentral.